This 66-nucleotide transfer RNA is filed under the name Echeneibothrium williamsi. RNAcentral describes it as "tRNA-Cys". Lineage: Eukaryota; Metazoa; Platyhelminthes; Cestoda; Rhinebothriidea; Echeneibothriidae. The record is from RNAcentral.
GAGUGUGCAGCCUAGGGCCUUAGUUUUGCAAAAGCUAUUGAGGAAGUUUUAAAUUUCCCACAUUUU